Triticum aestivum (bread wheat) is the source of this 149-nucleotide long non-coding RNA. RefSeq lists it as uncharacterized. The record is from RefSeq and is a predicted model, not a curated record. Lineage: Eukaryota; Viridiplantae; Streptophyta; Magnoliopsida; Poales; Poaceae. The transcript is spliced from 3 exons.
CUUUUUUGAUCUCAUGACUUUUUAUGCGAUCGGAAAACGAAUGAGAUCAGAAAGAUAGGCGGACGACUUGACCAUAAGGUCGGAUGUUUCCGUGAGCAGUAAGCAGCGGAUCUCCCCUUUUUGGGGGAAAGCUGGAGAUCGGAAGGGCA